UUUUGGAUGGUCAAUGCAAUCCAGAUCAAAGAGGCUCACCAUGUGUGGAACUUUGGAUUAUCUAGCACCAGAAAUGGUAACAAACAAAGCACAUGACUACACAGUUGACAACUAGACCUUGGGCAUCCUCUGCUAUGAGUUCCUUUACGGCGUCCCACCUUUCGAAGCCGAGAACCAGGAAGAUACAUUCAAAAGGAUUGUGGAGAUCGACUUGAGUUUUCCUCCCACUGCUCAUGUGUCUGCAGAAGCAAAGGACCUGAUCUGUCGGCUUCUGGUGAAGGAUUCUUU
Long non-coding RNA from Magnolia sinica, 288 nucleotides. RefSeq lists it as uncharacterized. The transcript is spliced from 3 exons. The record is from RefSeq and is a predicted model, not a curated record. Lineage: Eukaryota; Viridiplantae; Streptophyta; Magnoliopsida; Magnoliales; Magnoliaceae.